AUUGAACGCUGGCGGCAGGCCUAACACAUGCAAGUCGAGCGGAUGAAGGGAGCUUGCUCCUGAAUUCAGCGGCGGACGGGUGAGUAAUGCCUAGGAAUCUGCCUGGGAGUGGGGGAUAACGUCCGGAAACGGGCGCUAAUACCGCAUACGUCCUGAGGGAGAAAGUGGGGGAUCUUCGGACCUCACGCUAUCAGAUGAGCCUAGGUCGGAUUAGCUAGUUGGUGGGGUAAAGGCCUACCAAGGCGACGAUCCGUAACUGGUCUGAGAGGAUGAUCAGUCACACUGGAACUGAGACACGGUCCAGACUCCUACGGGAGGCAGCAGUGGGGAAUAUUGGACAAUGGGCGAAAGCCUGAUCCAGCCAUGCCGCGUGUGUGAAGAAGGUCUUCGGAUUGUAAAGCACUUUAAGUUGGGAGGAAGGGCAGUAAGUUAAUACCUUGCUGUUUUGACGUUACCAACAGAAUAAGCACCGGCUAACUUCGUG
Molecule: ribosomal RNA, 484 nt
Filed under: uncultured bacterium
Lineage: Bacteria
Description: partial 16S ribosomal RNA
Rfam family: Bacterial small subunit ribosomal RNA
Source: RNAcentral